ACGAACGCUGGCGGCAUGCCUAACACAUGCAAGUCGAACGAAUUCACCGACUUCGGUUGGUGAGUUAGUGGCGCACGGGUGCGUAACGCGUGGGAAUCUGCCCCUCGGUUCGGAAUAACAGUUAGAAACGACUGCUAAUACCGGAUGAUGACGAAAGUCCAAAGAUUUAUCGCCGAGGGAUGAGCCCGCGUAGGAUUAGCUAGUUGGUAAGGUAAAAGCUUACCAAGGCGACGAUCCUUAGCUGGUCUGAGAGGAUGAUCAGCCACACUGGGACUGAGACACGGCCCAGACUCCUACGGGAGGCAGCAGUGGGGAAUAUUGGACAAUGGGCGAAAGCCUGAUCCAGCAAUGCCGCGUGAGUGAUGAAGGCCUUAGGGUUGUAAAGCUCUUUUACCAGGGAUGAUAAUGACAGUACCUGGAGAAUAAGCUCCGGCUAACUCCGU
This 443-nucleotide ribosomal RNA is filed under the name uncultured bacterium. RNAcentral describes it as "bacterial SSU rRNA". It matches the Rfam family "Bacterial small subunit ribosomal RNA", at positions 29 to 506 of the family's 1533-position model. The record is from RNAcentral.